This is a long non-coding RNA of Oryzias melastigma (Indian medaka), 339 nucleotides long. RefSeq lists it as uncharacterized. Lineage: Eukaryota; Metazoa; Chordata; Actinopteri; Beloniformes; Adrianichthyidae. The transcript has 3 exons. The record is from RefSeq and is a predicted model, not a curated record.
GUCAAAGAAGGACAGUAAGAUUACGUAAGAACAAUGAAAGAUGUUGGGAACUUGAGUUUACUUGCGUAAACAAACUUCUGAUCAUCAGUCCAGGUCUGGUGCCAGGACGCCAUGGCAGAACACUUCAUCUCCCUCCAAACUGGGCAGAGGAGCCCCCGUCCUCACCCUUGUUUGUUAUGACCAAGUAAGCCGACAAAAGCUCUCAGACUUUAACGUCCCUUUUCCAAAUGAACUGGAGUGAACUCGGCAACUGGGAGAGCAGAGCCAGAAUCUAAUAGAAUCAUAGCACUCUCUGAGAAGAUUCAUUUUCCUGGGAAUUAUCCAUCUGUGGCCAUGUCA